GGCCCGCUAACAAAAUGGGCAGCGUAAUGCCUCACUGGCUUCACUCCGAUCCGCUCAGCGACUGAGCCAAGCGUUAAGCCCGAUGACUGUGUGGCUAUCCAACCAGACUAGAUCCCAAAAGUCAACCAACAAGUCCAUGUCCAUCACUAUUAAAUAUAUUUACUAAAUAUCAUCGAUAAAUAUUCUUUUGCGGACAUCACUCCAAAUCAACAUUUUCAAGCAAGGAGACUAAUUAUUUGAAAUCCAUUUGAAAUCUGAUAGUAUCAAAACAAAAAUGACCUCGUUUUUAUCUCUCUGUACUGCGGACGCUGUCAUAGCUGCGGCAUCGUUAAAACUCGUAAGUCGUAAACAUAUGCACACAUAAAACCAAAACUUUUGCCACAGUUGUUCCCUGUAAGACCACACCACCCCACCCCGCUCCCUUCGUCCAAAAGCUGGCUGAUAUUAACGCAUUAGGUACAAGGUACACAAACCCAUUUGCCAUACUCGUCUGGGCCGAGUCUCUGCUGUUAUGAAACAAUAAACAGCCGUCAACGAUGAUGACAGCCCCAAAGAAGCAAACACAACAAAAGCCCAGUGCGGCGAGGGUUGACUCAGGUAUUUCAAUUAAUCCCAGCCAUCAGCGAGGGUUGCAAGAAAUCUUUAAUGUGCAGGUAAUUUAUUUCCCUGGCGAACAGCUAAAUUUAGCGGAAAUUAGUGGAUUCCAUUUGUUUUCAGAACCUUAACAAUUGCAGUUGACAUUUAACCUUUAGAGCUACGUUUUCAGGAAUAAUUAAAAGUGAAUCAACAUUUUCAUAAAUAUUAAGUAUACGUUUCAGAGAAUAUUAUCCCAGGGAUGCUGUUUGUUUUUAAUUCUCCUCGUUCAGCUGCCUUGCAAUUAUUUAAUCUCCCCACUGCCCUGAAGUAUCUCUCACAUAUGAAACGCAUUUUAUAUUUCCCUAGUAAACUUCGCGAAAGCUCUGUCGUGUGUAGUUACUAACUAGGCGAUUACCUCGUUUGGCCCCCACCAAAAAACCCCCACUUCCCCCACCCCGUUGUGUGCGCUGCUCGCCUGACCUUAGGCAUUUUGAACCCAAUUUGUAAGCAGUCGAAGGGCGGGCAGAUGGGAAAGAGGAACCCAAACAAUAUGCACAACAACCUCCUAGCCAAACCAACCAACAGACCUUCGGUACGCCCCGAAACAGCAAAGCCAGCCAAACGAUUGCGAGAGCUUAGUUCCCCGCCACGAUCCCCGAUCCCCAACUAUAUGGUAGUACAGUGCAGCAUAGUAUGUAUAUAUAGUAUAUAGCCAACCGAUUCCUACCUUCAACUUGCCGCUGGCGGGGCCAUUGAGUUGCUCAUUCGGUCAUGGCUACACGGCUUACUACUGCCUAUACUACCAGGCCACCACCACUGCCACUGAAUCGCCGGCAUUUCGGGCUCAUUAGAAAGUGAACGCGGGUCUGGCUGGGAGACAAAAUGCGAGACAAUGCGCCGGAGUCUCUGGAGCGCAGCUAAUGAAGCCCGACAGGGCCGAUAUCGGGCAAGGCAUCGGAUCGGAUUGGAUCGAAUCACGAUCACGUCACAUCACAAUCGAGAUUCCCUCGCCACUGUCAUUAGGAAGUUUCUCCAUACACUGCAAGGGGUACUUAGAGUGGACCUAUCACUCCUGGGGGCUCCACUUUCACAGAUUUUUUGGCAGUAAAUCAGUUCCAAGAAAUCGCAAUAUUUGACCAAAUCUACCUUUUUUUAAGUAAGCUUAGUCAUUAAUUCUUUCUUAAAUUCAGCUAUUAUUUUAUAAUUCUCAAUAUUUAGAAACAUAUUUUAAUUCGAUUAUCACCGAUAAAUUCAAUCGAUAUCAAAUCACACCUAUAAUCGAUCGGCAAGUGUAUCCAAAGCUUCGAUCUCCGGAUUUUACCAAAUUUAUUUUUUGUCUUUUCAUUCAAUUAAAUCAAAAGUAUAGCGCACGAAGAUGAGCCAGUGACGGAUGAUGGGAUACAAAUGAAAAUGUUGAAAGAAAAACAUGAAAGGCAGCAGCGAUGGGCAGGUGAAGGGGGAGGCGAUGUGCGAUACGAAAAAGAUACAAAAUUAUGUUAGUGGGAAAUUUUUGUGGUUUCUUGAAGCCGAGUACUCACACUCAUUGGAAUCGGAAUCGCAGCGACUUCACUUUCACUUGCACUUCGCCUUGCCCACCGCGCUUCACUUGUUGUGGUGCUGGCCAUGAAUGGAGCCAACAAAAACAACUAAAAAUACCCCCUGCACCACCACCACCCCCUACCCCGCGAUUCGCCCCUCGCUGGGCAGCCCAGUGGUUAAGUUUUUCUUUCAUUUCGUGGAGCUGGCUCCACACCGCCACUGGCGCCUUCAUCAAUCAACGAACGGCGGUUGGAAUCGCUCGCUGCUCAAGUGGCACAUUGGGAAAGUUCGCCCACAAGGGUUCUUCUGCGCCGCUCGUUAGGCUCUAAAUCACGUAUCUCACGCCCACAGAAACCAACCACCCUCGCUCUAACCGCCAAAUUAGCUGAGAGAAAAUAAUACAACCAAGUGAUAAUAUUGCUCACAUACUUGUAAAUACCAUGUACUUCAAUUACUUCGCAGAAAUUAUCUAAAAACAAAACUAUCUUUAUUAAAUUUAUAUUUGAUUCCCUAGAGAACUGCGCAUUUUUCUCCGUGUAGGCGUCUGCUUAUAAUUACUACUCUCGUAUCUCUUUCAUUGAUUUUCGUUUUGAGUUUUUCAUUUGAAAAUUCAUGUUUACAAGCGAUUAGCAGCUUAUUAUUAUUGCUUUUUGUCUGCCAAUUGAAUUUCCCAAUUUUCUUUGGUUUUCUCGCACUCGUCUCGCCCUUCGGUUGGCUCAUCUUGUUUGUGUCUGAAAUCGCUGGGAGAAAGACAAAUCUCGAGAGCUUUACAUAAUCCACACAAAUGGUCGUCAUUAUGCGAAUUUCAUUUGUUCAUUUACUAUUUCUGGACGGUUGGUGAAUGUUUUGUUGGCUUUCUUCUAAUUUCGUGGUAUUCUAUUUGAUUUGAUUGCUUGUUGCCUUUUUGAACAGAAGCUAAUGAACUUGAAAGAGUCUUGAAAUGGCGAAGACUGAAGACGGCUCUUGUGUAAUUCAGGUAGAAGCCGCUUUUUUUUAAUAAUUAUUGGCGAUGGUUGAUUGUAAUUAUAUAAUUCGUUUUUUGAUGGGUUUACUAUUUGAAUUGGUUAGCAAUUUAAAUAGUAGGAUAUAUAUUAAAUAUUUAUACACACAAACUUGUAUGCUAUUUACUUUAAACUCAAUACCCCAGCCGAAGAUCUCAUUUCUCACAUGUAUAACAAGUAAUUAUGUACAUAUUGUAUUUCCGAUCCAUGGGUCAAUGGCUCCCUUCAGAUCGCUCGACUUCAUCAGGUAGCUGCUACUGCCUUUUUAAAACCCUUUCCAGGGUAUGUCAAAUAAAAGGUCUGAUUAAUUCUAUAGAAAUUGCAUUGCCAGGCUGCAUUUCGUCAGUUUCAAUUCAAUGCAAAUUACAGAGCCAACUGGAAACAACAAUGCGUCUGCGUCCGAGUCUGAAAUUGCUGCUGGAAUUGGGCAACAACAGCAAACAACAAAACGAAACACAAGGGAAAUCUAAGCAGUUGAUUCUUGGCUAAGCUUACACAGUAAGAAAAACAUUUGAUUUAUGAAAGCCAUAAAUUACGAAAAUUUCCCGUUAUUAGUUAUAAUACCUACUGAUAAAACAAACGUGUAAAUAGUUAGCAAACUAUUUAUAGAUGUGAGAAAGUAUUUUAGGUUUAUUUUUAAUGAGAUAUUAAAUUAGUUUUCAUUUGAAUCCCAUGAGUGUUCAACUGUAAACAAAUAAACAUUUUACU
Drosophila mauritiana is the source of this 3824-nucleotide long non-coding RNA. RefSeq lists it as uncharacterized. The transcript has 3 exons. The record is from RefSeq and is a predicted model, not a curated record. NCBI's taxonomy places the organism in Eukaryota, Metazoa, Arthropoda, Insecta, Diptera, Drosophilidae.